CAAGAUCACAGCACUACUGGAACAGCUGCACUCAGGGCUGCUUUCUCCAACACUCCUGCAUUCUCUCACUCUAACAUACACACACAGGCACGUCCAGAACUCUACCACGCAAGCGCUCCUCACACACUCAGGCAGGCACACCCCCUCUCAUUAUAUGUGCAGUGAGAAGCUCUGCUCUGCUUGUGUGGGUGUGAGCAGUGGGCUGUGUUUCUCUCUGGCAGCAACAGCAGCACUCUAGCAGCAGGACUGGUCCAGUGGAGGGCAAUCACCUCACUCUCUCCAGACUCCAGGACAGCUCACCCCCAGGACUCGGGAAGCCCUCAACAAGCCUUUCUCUCUCUGUUUCUUGUUCUAUCUAUCUCUCCAUUCUCACUCUCUCUCUGCCUCGCCGUGACGCAGUGUUUCUGACCUUCAUUUCCCUAGUGCACUCAGUGUGGACCAGUGGGACAGCCAUGGAGGAUACCCUCACCUGCAGCCCCGCCACCUUCUCCCAGGUGUUCGGACGUCAGGGACAGCUCAUGCAGGCCACGGUCCAGUCUCUGAACAGUCUGAAUGACCAGAUAGCCCACUUCAUGAUGACCAGGCCCGGCACACUGUCCCGGGAGAACGAGGCCUUCAUGCCUGAAGAGAGAGACACCUUGAAGGAGUCCAUGGCCCUGAUGAGGCACCUACUCUUGGACGCACAGGGGAAAAUCCUUAAAAUGAUGGAAGACAACAAGCAGCUGGCUCAGAGGAUCGAUGGGGCCAUCCAGUCUGCCAGUCAGGAGGUAACCAACCUGCGCUCAGAGCUGUCGGCCACCAGCCGUAGACUGGCAGAGCUGGGGGCCAGCAGCCCCCCCUCGCCCCUGGUGAACAACCAUCAGCACCACCAGCACAACCACCACGACCAUGACAGCCUCCACUACCGGGAUCCUGCCGGUAAUUACAGGCAGAAGUCGGUGUUGAGCGAUAUCUGUUACCAGACAGAGAUCUCCAGCCUCAUGGACUUUGGGACUCCAGACUCCUCGCUCGAUAAAGUGUUGCUGCGUGAGGAGGUGGCCCAGCUGCAGGAAGAGGUGCACCUGUUGCGGCAGAUGAAGGACAUGUUGAGUAAGGACCUGGAGGAGACCCAGGGCCAGGGAGGCUGCUCCUCCAACCUCCUCUCUGACACUGAGCUCCGCGUGCAGAUGGGAGACAAGGAGCAGGAGCUGGACCGUGUCAAGGAGGCCUUACAAGCUAUGAAGUCUGACCGUAAGCGUCUGAAGGUGGACAAGGCAGACCUGGUGAACCAGAUGCAGCAGCUGUACACCACACUGGAGAGCCGGGAGGACCAGCUCCGAGACUUCAUACGCAACUACGACCAGCACAGAAAGGAGAGUGAGGAUGCAGUGAAGGCCCUGGCUAAGGAGAAGGACAUGCUGGAGAGGGAGAAAUGGGAUCUGAGGAGGCAGACCAAAGAGGCCACAGAGCAGGCCUGCAUCCUGCGCUCUCACAUGGACAUUAAGGAGAACCGCAUCAAAGAGCUGGAGGCUGAACUCACCAUGGCAAAACAGUCCCUGGCCACGCUGACUAAGGACGUGCCGAAACGCCAGUCCCUGGCCACGCCCUCAGAGCCGGUGGUGAACGGCAGUCAGGAGUGGGCGAUGCAGGGAGACCUGCCCCUCACCGCUGCCAUCCGCCAGAGCCAACAGACCCUCUACCACGGACACACUGUGGACCGCCAGGCGGUGGUCAGGGUCAGUCCCUGUCACUCCCGCCAGCCCUCUACCAUCUCGGACGCGUCGGCGGCUGACGGGGAUCGGUCGUCCACCCCCAGUGACAUCAACUCCCCCCGCCACCGGACACACUCCCUCUGCAAUGUAAGAGCUUCCUGGCCUCCCCAACCAAUCUAUGGAGGACCUGGAGGACCAGAAGCGUAAGACUAAGAAGAAGGAGAAGAUGUGUCUGGGCUCCCUCUCCCGGGUGUUUGCUCGGGGAAAGCAGCGCAAGUCAAUGGACCCGGGCCUGUUUGAUGACACUGACAGCCUCUCCAGCCUAUCAACACAACAGCACAGCCUAUCAGAUGGAGAGGAGCAGCUGGACCGCCUCCAGCAGGCAGAGCUCACUCGGAACAUGCCCAUGUCACUGUGGAAGGCAGGGCCAGUACAAGCCUG
This is an RNA transcript of Oncorhynchus gorbuscha (pink salmon), 2132 nucleotides long. It is a transcript of the gene named kazrin-like, with no coding region annotated. The transcript has 11 exons. The record is from RefSeq and is a predicted model, not a curated record. NCBI's taxonomy places the organism in Eukaryota, Metazoa, Chordata, Actinopteri, Salmoniformes, Salmonidae.